This is a long non-coding RNA of Quercus robur (English oak), 1780 nucleotides long. RefSeq lists it as uncharacterized. NCBI's taxonomy places the organism in Eukaryota, Viridiplantae, Streptophyta, Magnoliopsida, Fagales, Fagaceae. The record is from RefSeq and is a predicted model, not a curated record. The transcript is spliced from 2 exons.
UCUCCCUCUUGACCGACUGCCCCUUCUCUCUAUUUCUCUAUUUUCCUAUCUCACUUAGCCACCGAAGCCCACACACAUAAACACUCUAGCUCCCUCUAUUUCUCUUACUCCCUCACCGGUAAACCAGUCAUCCACCACCACUUUUGACAGAUUUCACUGGAGAACCCCAUUAGCAACCCCAUACGCUCCAUUCUCUCAAAGCUUUAAAGGUUCUGAUAUUCUUGGUGAUGGACCUAGUGACUGGAUUAGUUGAUUUUGUGGUGCCCAGUUGAGGUAAAAUUGGUUGGCCUUCCAAGGUAAGUAGCUUUUUAAUGGGAUUUUUGAAAAAUAAACAUAUUGCAUAAAGGUUGUUUUUGGGUUAGACACGCUUUUGGAAACUACCUAUGGAAACUAUAUUUUCCUAAAAACUAUUGUGUCGUAACCUUAAUAUAUAUAUAUAUAUAUAUAUAUACACACACAUAUAUAUACAAAAAUGCAUCAUAUUUGGUAUCGCAUUUGGGGAAUGCAUGAAUUGUGAACAUGGAAAAUAUAAGCAUGUUUUAUUUAAUCUUUGAUAAGGAAAUCAUAGAUUUUAUGGUAUAUUAGAAAAUUUAAAGAUGCUUAUCUUGUCUUGUAUUAUUUGGGAAAUUGAUAGAAAAUAGAAAAGAAUGAAGUUGAAAACCUUACAAACUUUGUUGUAGUUAGAUUAUUUAAGGUUUUUUUGAAACUACCUAGUUAUAAACUAUGUUUUUGAAAGGGUAUGUAUACUUGUGAGCUUUAUAUGGUUUUGACACCGUGCCAUGUGUGAUUUCCCCGUGAUCACCCGAUUUGGUUUCCGUAGUCUUUGUGACAAUGGAAUCAAAUCCAGGUUAGUGCCCUUUCACUUUGGAUGACGCGUUCUUCCCUACUGCCCAUGGAGGGAAGAGGUUCCUUGAUUGUGUGUGGGUGAGGCUGCUGCCCAUGGAGCCAAGAGACCACAUGCAAGAGAGGUCCUAUUUGACGCGCUCUCUCUACUGCCCAUGGAGGGAGAGAAAAACCUUGAGGGUAUGAGUGAGGUUGCUGUCCAUGGGGCCAAGAGUCUGCAUGCCAGAGAGGACAAUAUCAUGCCAGUUGUGAAUGGGUGGAUCCCCUAAUCGGUCUAUGUGGUAGUAUGGUAGAUUUGUGAUGAAAUUACCGUAUGUUAGAUUUUAUGGCUUUGGAAAUUAUAUUGUUAGUGCUCACAGAUUAUAAUAUAUAGUUUCCUGGUAUUAUUUUGAGAAACUUUGUGUUUCAUCAUUUAAUCAUUCUUGUUACAUUAUUACAAAAAAUGAUCUUGCAGUAUUCAGUUAGCAAUUUCCCAAACUAAAACAUGUUUUGCAAAUUGUUUAUAAUCAUGAAACUUGCAUUUCCCCCACCCCCAUUAAUUAUGCUACUUACUAGGCUUUAGCUCAUCCCACUCUCUAACAAUUUUACAGAUAAAUUAGCUAUACGUUGGGCACGAAGCUUAGUUAUUGGUGGUGACUAGAGUACUGUGCUAAGUGGGAGAUUUGUGCCAUAAAUUGUUGGUGCUCAGUUUACUAAAUUAUUCGAGGCCAUAGCUAUAUCUAUUGGAGGUUGGAUACUUGAGGUUUGUUAGUUUUAGGCAUUGUAGGCCUAACUCCAAUAUUGAUGUUGUGUAUUCUAGAAGGGAUUGUGAUUUUGUGUUAUCCAUUUGGAGUUUUGAAAUAUAUUCAUGUAUUAUUUGGAGACACAUGAUUUGAGUUAUUGUUUGUAAAUGUGUUAUAGAGCUCUAACUUGUAAUAUGGAGAUUUUAGUAUGGUUA